AUAUUUGUCAAGUCUCGGAGGUUGCUCCAAGAAAGACUGGAUUGGAGAAUCAUGAGCUCAUGUAUAACAAAUUUACUCUCCCGCUCUUUCAACUGUGCAGGACGCGGUGGAUAAGAAGGAGUGAGUGGGACGCCCUUAGUUUCUGCUAUUAAAGCUCUGGAUGAUCUGGCAACGAACUCCGAUUAAUUUUAUUACAUGUGUACAUAUUUGUAAAAUAAAGACAUUUUGUUA
Non-coding RNA from Styela clava, 231 nucleotides. The record is from RefSeq and is a predicted model, not a curated record. NCBI's taxonomy places the organism in Eukaryota, Metazoa, Chordata, Ascidiacea, Stolidobranchia, Styelidae.